RNAcentral lists this transfer RNA (74 nucleotides) under Candidatus Levyibacteriota bacterium. RNAcentral's name for it is "tRNA-Asp". It matches the Rfam family "tRNA". Rfam says of the family: Transfer RNA (tRNA) molecules are approximately 80 nucleotides in length. Their secondary structure includes four short double-helical elements and three loops (D, anti-codon, and T loops). Lineage: Bacteria; Candidatus Levyibacteriota. The record is from RNAcentral.
GGGGUGGUAGCUCAGUUGGCUAGAGCGCUUCCCUGUCACGGAAGAGGUCGCGGGUUCGAGCCCCGUUCACCCCG